This 2033-nucleotide unclassified non-coding RNA is filed under the name Hevea brasiliensis (rubber tree). The record is from RNAcentral. Lineage: Eukaryota; Viridiplantae; Streptophyta; Magnoliopsida; Malpighiales; Euphorbiaceae.
UGUUGAAACCUGAAAGAAAAAAGAGACAGAUAUGGGAAAGAGACAAAGGCCUGGAACUAGUAGUGGGAUUAUCACCAUUGAUCUCGACUCUCCAGCUUCAGAGGAUUUUGAAAAUCAUCCUUCUAAACAGUAUGCUAGAAGUAGGAGGAUUGCCAAAAAACAGGGUGAAGAGACGAAAUGCUCUACAAUAGUAUCUUCUUGUUCUGUAGAAACCUUUCCUCAUGGUCACAAGUCAAAGAAGAGAUUGAAGGGUAAGGAUGCUAUCUCUGAAUCGAAGAAAAAGCUGGACACUCGAGCAUUUGACAUCCACUUUAAAAAUUUGUGGAGGAACUUCUCAGAAGAUAAGAGGAUGCCCUUUACAUACUUUGACAGCCUAUGGUUUGCUGCAUACAUGACUUCAUCAUCCAAAGAAUGUAUGCUGACUUGGAUAAAGGAAAAGCACAUAUUUUCGAAGCCAUAUGUUCUUGUUCCUAUUGUUUACUGGAGACACUGGAGCCUCUUGAUCUUCUGCAACUUGGGUGAAAGUAUGCAAUCAGAAAGUAGUCCUCCAUGUAUGUUGUUGCUGGAUUCCCUUCAGAUGGCAGGCCCUAGACGGCUUGAACCAGCAAUAAGAAAGUUUCUAUUCGACAUUUACAAAUCAGGGGGCAGGCCUGAAAGUAGGGAGUCAAUUUUGCAAAUUCCAUUAUUGGUGCCUAAGGUGCCACAACAGAGAAAUAGUGAAGAGUGUGGUAAUUAUGUUCUCUACUUCAUAAGCUUGUUUAUGGAACAAGCUCCUGAGAACUUUCGCAUGAAGGAUUACCCUUCCUUUGUAAGCUUUUCCUCUUGCUUUUUAUGAAGUGUGGACCAUAUAUUUUUGUAUUGAGUGCUACUAUGUUUAAACUGCAGAUGACAGAUGAAUGGUUCAAUCUUGAAGGCUUGAAGAACUUUUGCGAGCAACUCAAACCCCUUGAAAAGUGAUUUUCUUGCGUUCCUAAGAAUCAAAUGAUAUAACUUUAUUAUUCAUGAUGGGAGGAUUUGAUAUUGUUGUAGUUAUAGUUACAUGUGGGGGUAUAGUUAGAAAAAGAUUAGUCUUAUUCAGGUCCCCUAACUAUUUACUCUAUACUAGUAAUUAUGGUUUUUUUGUAUAAAAUUAUCAUGAAGAUGAAAAUAGAAGAAAUGGAAGUUGAUUGUGCUGAUUGUGAGGUGCGGUUGGGAUUUUCCGAUUGUAGGUACUGGAAAAGUUGUUAGCUUAGUAGAUUUUCAGUUCAUGACAUGGUUCAUGGUUCAGUCUUCAGUAUAAAUUACCUGCUGGGUAAGGCUUCUUCGGACCAAAAUGAUACUUGUUGUACAAAAUUACCAAACUGAAAAGCCUGGUGUUUCAUCCCUAUGCGAUAAUGACAUGUUGUUGGCUAAUUGAGAGCUCACUUCUGCAACUUCUAGACACUCAAUUGGGCAGGCUUGUUGAAUGCCCCUACCCACAACUUUAAUAUAUUGGAUUUCCUCUUGGUGUUGCAAAAAAUGGCGAGAGUUGCCUUGCGCAGAACCAUUUCAAUAUAUGCGAGUUUUAUUAAUUGGAAGUUUGGAACCCACUUGCCUGAUUCAAUUGUUAAAGGUAGACGUGACCACUGGUGCAGUAUCGGAUUGAAAUUGUCAGUUUCAAUUUCGAUUUGAUUUUGGUUUAAUUUUGAUUGAUCGAUUUUGAUCCGAUUCAAUAAUAUGAGAAAUAAUAAAGAAAAGGAAAAGGGAGCUUAUUCAGUGUGCACUCAUUGACAAUCGUUUGAUCAAGUUUGAUCUGAUGGUUGUAUUUAAUUGGACUCGAGCGCAUGGCGUGUGCGUUAUCCAGAGCCAUAACGGCCACAAACCACCGCUUCGGAAACCACGCCAUAAAAAAAAAAUUAAAGAAAAAAAACUCUUUUUUGUUCUUAAUUUGCAUAUGAUGGAACAAGAAUGAAAUGGUUGAUCAAUUAAGUUGAAAUUCAACAUUGUUAUCAUAUAUGUGCUUUUUUGUUUGAUUUAUACGUUAAAUGAAGAAAAGUUACCAUUUUAAUUUUAAA